This 72-nucleotide transfer RNA is filed under the name Odontosoria chinensis. RNAcentral describes it as "tRNA-Arg". It matches the Rfam family "tRNA". Rfam says of the family: Transfer RNA (tRNA) molecules are approximately 80 nucleotides in length. RNAcentral also lists the same sequence under 1 other name. The record is from RNAcentral. Lineage: Eukaryota; Viridiplantae; Streptophyta; Polypodiopsida; Polypodiales; Lindsaeaceae.
ACGUCCAUCGUCUAAUGGAUAGGACAAAGGUCUUCUAAACCUUGAGUAUAGGUUCAACUCCUAUUGGACGUA